Molecule: transfer RNA, 73 nt
Filed under: Anaerostipes caccae
Lineage: Bacteria; Bacillati; Bacillota; Clostridia; Lachnospirales; Lachnospiraceae
Also listed under: 9 other names
Description: tRNA-Arg
Rfam family: tRNA
About the family: Transfer RNA (tRNA) molecules are approximately 80 nucleotides in length. Their secondary structure includes four short double-helical elements and three loops (D, anti-codon, and T loops).
Source: RNAcentral
GCAUCAGUAACUCAGUGGAUAGAGUGACAGCCUCCGAAGUUGUUGGUCGCAGGUUCGACUCCUGCCUGGUGCA